Molecule: long non-coding RNA, 1719 nt
Organism: Herpailurus yagouaroundi (jaguarundi)
Lineage: Eukaryota; Metazoa; Chordata; Mammalia; Carnivora; Felidae
Exons: 2
Source: RefSeq, a predicted model, not a curated record
AAGUAAGACAAUAACAUAAAAAUGGCUUUGGACAUUUAAGAGAAUUGCUCAUACCCAAACAAACCAUAAGAUGUAAAAAUCAACUGUGGAACCAAAUCAAGAUUGGAUCAAAGAGCUGAUUGACUGUAGGCCUCCACGUCUGCCACCUACACAGCCACCGAACUUCAUCAUCCUGGCUAGAUCCCAAAGGUAAACUGUCAUAAUAUACCUAGGAUCUGAGAAGUCUGUUUCAAGCAGUUGCGCAGGAUGAGCCUACUCUCCAGUGGUGCCCACCAGUCUGAUGAAACCACUGCUUGCCCGUGAGACAUUAUGUGGGUUAUAAAGAUGGUCGAAGGAAUAUGUCCACUGAGGUCUGAUCUCCAUGACCACCAAGACAGAAGCAAGCCCUGCCAACCUUCCCAGGCGGUGAGUCCUGAGGGAGAAGCAUUAUGAAGAGUCGUUAUGCCUGCUUUUAUAACAGACAGGGUCAGUUCCAAAGGCAUUUGUCAAGGGCACAUCUGUGCAGAGUCCAAUAAGACAUGCACUGCGGAUACAGAUACGACACUUAACCGGGAGAGCAAUUUCUUUGCAAAAGGUUCCCAGUAUUCUGAGAGUUUUGAACUUUAAGAAAGAAAAAUAACGAGGCUGCUGACUCACUGAUACCUUUUGCUCCUGCCCUAGCCGGAAGUAGGAUUCAACCACAGACAGAAAGGGGGAGUGUUGGGGCAGCGGGAGACGACGAGCAAAAUACACUGUGGUUGUUCUCGAGGUUUUUGUUUCCAGAGCCUUGUCUUCUCUCUCUAGCGCUCAACACGUUUAAGAGUCCAGGUGCGGGAUGGCUGCCUUGCAUGAGGCCACCCAGAAGUGAGUGGUCCCAGAAAAGACUCUUUUGACCAUCAACUUAAAACUGUGGCUUUCUGCCCCCCACCUUUUUGUUUGUUUGUUUGUUUUGGGCACAGAGACACUGGAAUAAGACAUUCUCAUCUGACCCUGAGAAGUCCCUUUGGCAAACAUGGUUCUAGAUUCUGUAGCGAAGGUGGUGAUCUUCAGGAAAACUCUCACUUAACCGGCUCGUCCAAACACCAAUGGCCUAAAUAGAAGCCAUCUGCUUAUUUAAUGAGCCUUCCUCUUUAUCGAAGUUGCUUUUUUACUGACACAGGCCACUCCUUUUGCUCCAGUAAUAACCGGACUUGGGUGAAGCACAUACAUAUACCUCGGACUUGAGCAACUCAUUUAUCUCAACCUUGUCGUGCCUCAAACUGAUAGAGAAAGAGAGAUGCCGAUCCUUCCUUGUCCAAGUGUGGGCACUGAGGAAGCUUCUUUAAAGAACUAUGAGAAACAUAGUAAGAGAUGAUAAAAAUAAAAAAUGGGGAAGUAAACUGUAUCAUUACUUUAAAACUGGCUUAAGUAGGCAAACAAAGAUUCCAUGUAGCAGAAGCCCUUUUGAUCUGUGGUCACUGAAUAUUUAGCAAUUUCACUGUAUGUCGUUAGCUCUAAACACAUUAUACCAUCUACGUAACUCUUCAGCAACUGUUAGAUGAGCAGGCAUAUCAUAGCACAUGGAGAAUUUUCAGAUUUAACUUUUCUUUUUUUUUUUUUUUACUUUUUUCUUUAUACGACUUUAUCAGAGUCCACCUCUGGGUCACCUGAUUUCCUGGGGUAAGAUUAUGUUUCUAUUUUAAGAUCUGAAAAUAGUAUUUUACCACCCUUUUUUUUUUUAUGGACCCGUUUGAGAAACUA